This 1192-nucleotide ribosomal RNA is filed under the name Pygoscelis adeliae (Adelie penguin). RNAcentral's name for it is "partial 16S ribosomal RNA". It matches the Rfam family "Bacterial large subunit ribosomal RNA", at positions 935 to 2830 of the family's 2925-position model. The record is from RNAcentral. Lineage: Eukaryota; Metazoa; Chordata; Aves; Sphenisciformes; Spheniscidae.
CCCCCCCCCGGACACCCAACUACAACCACCAUGUGGCGAAUCAAGAGCAAUUUAAAGGAGGUACAGCUCCUUUAAAAAAGAAUACAACCUCCCCUAGCGGAUAACUACCCAACUGACCCUAGACUGUAGGCCCUCAAGCAGCCAUCAACAAAGAAUGCGUCAAAGCUCUACCCCAAAAAAAUUCAAAAACAACAGGACUCCCUUAUCUAUAACGGGCCAACCUAUAACAAUAGGAGAAUCAAUGCUAAAAUGAGUAAUCAGGGACCACCCUCUCAAGCGCAAGCUUACAUCACCACAUUAUUAACAAGCCUCAAACUAAUACCCCCAACCCCAAACAAGCCAAAUAUUAAACUUGCCCUGUUAGCCCAACUCAGGAGCGCCCAUUAGAAAGAUCCAAAUCUGCAAAAGGAACUAGGCAACCUCAAGGCCCGACUGUUUACCAAAAACAUAGCCUUCAGCCAGCCAAGUAUUGGAGGUGAUGCCUGCCCAGUGACACUCUGUUCAACGGCCGCGGUAUCCUAACCGUGCGAAGGUAGCGCAAUCAAUUGUCCCAUAAAUCGAGACUUGUAUGAAUGGCUAAACGAGGUCUUAACUGUCUCUUGCAGACAAUCAAUGAAAUUGAUCUUCCUGUGCAAAAGCAGGAAUAAACCCAUAAGACGAGAAGACCCUGUGGAACUUAAAAAUCAGCGGCCACCCCACACAACCCAAAACCUACCAGGCCUACGACCCCAAGUAAAACACUGGCCCGCAUUUUUCGGUUGGGGCGACCUUGGAGAAAAGCAGAUCCUCCAAAAACAAGACCACACAUCCUGACCAAGAACAACCCCUCAACGUACCAACAGCAACCAGACCCAAUAUAAUUGAUCAAUGGACCAAGCUACCCCAGGGAUAACAGCGCAAUCCCCUCCAAGAGCCCAUAUCGACAAGGGGGUUUACGACCUCGAUGUUGGAUCAGGACACCCUAAUGGUGCAGCCGCUAUUAAGGGCUCGUUUGUUCAACGAUUAACAGUCCUACGUGAUCUGAGUUCAGACCGGAGCAAUCCAGGUCGGUUUCUAUCUAUGACGGGCUUUUCCUAGUACGAAAGGACCGGAAAAGCAAGGCCCAUACUACAGGCAUGCCUUCCCUCUAAGUAGUGAACCCAACUAAACUACCAAACAGGACACACCAUUUUACCCAUCCUAGAAAAGGAUC